Molecule: ribosomal RNA, 747 nt
Filed under: uncultured Anaerolineales bacterium
Lineage: Bacteria; Bacillati; Chloroflexota; Anaerolineae; Anaerolineales
Description: bacterial SSU rRNA
Rfam family: Bacterial small subunit ribosomal RNA
Source: RNAcentral
GUGCAGGCGGCGCGGUAAGUUGGGCGUGAAAGCUCCCGGCUCAACUGGGAGAGGUCGUUCAAAACUGCCGUGCUUGAGGUCGGAAGAGGGAAGCGGAAUUCCCGGUGUAGUGGUGGAAUGCGUAGAUAUCGGGAGGAACACCAGUGGCGAAGGCGGCUUCCUGGUCCGCACCUGACGCUCAGACGCGAAAGCGUGGGGAGCGAACGGGAUUAGAUACCCCGGUAGUCCACGCCGUAAACGAUGAAUACUAGGUGUUGGUGGUGUUAAAACCAUCAGUGCCGUAGCUAACGCGUUAAGUAUUCCGCCUGGGGACUACGGCCGCAAGGUUAAAACUCAAAGGAAUUGACGGGGGCCCGCACAAGCAGCGGAGCGUGUGGUUUAAUUCGAUGAUACGCGAAGAACCUUACCUGGGUUUGACAUGUACGUAGUAGGGAUCCGAAAGGUGACCGACCCUUCGGGGAGCGUACACAGGUGCUGCAUAGCUGUCGUCAGCUCGUGUCGUGAGAUGUUGGGUUAAGUCCCGCAACGAGCGCAACCCUCGCCGUUAGUUACAAGUGUCUAACGGGACUGCCGGAGUCAAACCGGAGGAAGGUGGGGAUGACGUCAAGUCAGCAUGGCCUUUAUAUCCAGGGCUACACACACGCUACAAUGGCCGGUACAAUGGGCAGCCACACCGCGAGGUGAAGCUAAUCUCUAAAGCCGGCCUCAGUUCAGAUUGCAGUCUGCAACUCGACUGCAUGAAGGCGG